CCUACGGGUGUCAGCAGUGGGGAAUUUUGGGCAAUGGGCGCAAGCCUGACCCAGCAACGCCGCGUGAAGGAAGAAGGCUUUCGGGUUGUAAACUUCUUUUAAGAGGGAAGAGCAGAAGACGGUACCUCUUGAAUAAGCCACGGCUAACUACGUGCCAGCAGCCGCGGUAAUACGUAGGUGGCAAGCGUUGUCCGGAUUGAAUGGGUGGAAAGGGCGGGCAGUGGGGAAGUCAAGUCAGAUGUGAAAUCCGGCGGCUCAACCGCGGAACUGCAUUUGAAACUGUUUUUCUUGAGUCCCGGAGAGGUAAUCGGAAUUCCUUGUGUAGCGGUGAAAUGCGUAGAUAUAAGGAAGAACACCAGUGGCGAAGGCGGAUGACUGGACGGCAACUGACGCUGAGGCACGAAAGCGUGGGGAGCAAACAGGAUUAGAUACCCUGGUAGUC
Molecule: ribosomal RNA, 442 nt
Filed under: uncultured bacterium
Lineage: Bacteria
Description: partial 16S ribosomal RNA
Rfam family: Bacterial small subunit ribosomal RNA
Source: RNAcentral